AGAUUGAACGCUGGCGGCAGGCCUAACACAUGCAAGUCGAGCGGCAGCACGGGUACUUGUACCUGGUGGCGAGCGGCGGACGGGUGAGUAAUGCCUAGGAAUCUGCCUGGUAGUGGGGGAUAACGCUCGGAAACGGACGCUAAUACCGCAUACGUCCUACGGGAGAAAGCAGGGGACCUUCGGGCCUUGCGCUAUCAGAUGAGCCUAGGUCGGAUUAGCUAGUUGGUGAGGUAAUGGCUCACCAAGGCGACGAUCCGUAACUGGUCUGAGAGGAUGAUCAGUCACACUGGAACUGAGACACGGUCCAGACUCCUACGGGAGGCAGCAGUGGGAAUAUUGGACAAUGGGACAAAGCCUGAUCCAGCCAUGCCGCGUGUGUGAAGAAGGUCUUCGGAUUGUAAAAGCAACGUUUUAAGUGGAGGAAGGCUAGUUACCUAAUACGUAUCUUGUUUGACGUUACGA
Molecule: ribosomal RNA, 462 nt
Filed under: uncultured soil bacterium
Lineage: Bacteria
Description: bacterial SSU rRNA
Rfam family: Bacterial small subunit ribosomal RNA
Source: RNAcentral